This 587-nucleotide ribosomal RNA is filed under the name uncultured archaeon. RNAcentral's name for it is "bacterial SSU rRNA". It matches the Rfam family "Archaeal small subunit ribosomal RNA", at positions 720 to 1299 of the family's 1478-position model. The record is from RNAcentral.
CGAACCCGGAUUUAGAUACCCCGGGUAGUCCAGGCUGUAAACGAUGCGGGCUAGGUGUUCGCGAUAGCCAUGAGCUAUCGCGGUGCCCGGAGGGAAAGCCGUUAAGCCCGCCCCCUGGGAAGUACGGCCGCAAGGCUGAAACUUAACUGAAUUGNCGGGGGAGCACUACAACGGGUGGAGCCUGCGGUUUAAUUGGAUUCAACGCCGGGAAGCUUACCGGGGGAGACAGCGGGAUGAAGGUCGGGCUGAAGACCCUACCAGACUAGCUGAGAGGUGGUGCAUGGCCGCCGUCAGUUCGUACUGUGAAGCAUCCUGUUAAGUCAGGCAACGAGCGAGACCCGCGCCCUCAGUUGCCAGCGGAUCGCUUUUGCGAUGCCGGGCACACUGGGGGGACUGCCGGCGCUAAGCCGGAGGAAGGUGCGGGCAACGGCAGGUCCGUAUGCCCCGAAUCCCCCGGGCUACACGCAGGCUACAAUGGACGGGACAAUGGGUACCGACCCCGAAAGGGAUAGGUAAUCUCCUAAACCCGGUCUAACCUGGGAUCGAGGGCUGCAACUCGCCCUCGUGAACCUCUAUCCGUAGUAAUA